UGACCUCGAAUCAGGUAGGAUUACCCGCUGAACUUAAGCAUAUCAAUAAGCGGAGGA
This 57-nucleotide ribosomal RNA is filed under the name Cylindrocladiella parva. RNAcentral's name for it is "partial 28S ribosomal RNA". It matches the Rfam family "Eukaryotic large subunit ribosomal RNA", at positions 1 to 57 of the family's 3401-position model. RNAcentral also lists the same sequence under 1 other name. Lineage: Eukaryota; Fungi; Ascomycota; Sordariomycetes; Hypocreales; Nectriaceae. The record is from RNAcentral.